ACUUCUUUAUCACCGAGUGCUUGCACUCACCGAUAAAGAGUUGAGUGGCGAACGGGUGAGUAACACGUGGGCAACCUGCCCAAAAGAGGGGGAUAACACUUGGAAACAGGUGCUAAUACCGCAUAACCAUAGUUACCGCAUGGUAACUAUGUAAAAGGUGGCUAUGCUACCGCUUUUGGAUGGGCCCGCGACGCAUUAGCUAGUUGGUGGGGUAAAGGCUUACCAAGGCAAUGAUGCGUAGCCGAACUGAGAGGUUGAUCGGCCACAUUGGGACUGAGACACGGCCCAAACUCCUACGGGAGGCAGCAGUAGGGAAUCUUCCACAAUGGGCGAAAGCCUGAUGGAGCAACGCCGCGUGGGUGAAGAAGGUCUUCGGAUCGUAAAACCCUGUUGUUAGAGAAGAAAGUGCGUGAGAGUAACUGUUCACGUUUCGACGGUAUCUAACCAGAAAGCCACGGCUAACAACGUGCCAGCAGCCGCGGUAAUACGUAGGUGGCAAGCGUUAUCCGGAUUUAUUGGGCGUAAAGAGAACGCAGGCGGUCUUUUAAGUCUGAUGUGAAAGCCUUCGGCUUAACCGGAGUAGUGCAUUGGAAACUGGGAGACUUGAGUGCAGAAGAGGAGAGUGGAACUCCAUGUGUAGCGGUGAAAUGCGUAGAUAUAUGGAAGAACACCAGUGGCGAAAGCGGCUCUCUGGUCUGUAACUGACGCUGAGGUUCGAAAGCGUGGGUAGCAAACAGGAUUAGAUACCCUGGUAGUCCACGCCGUAAACGAUGAAUGCUAAGUGUUGGA
This 789-nucleotide ribosomal RNA is filed under the name uncultured bacterium. RNAcentral describes it as "bacterial SSU rRNA". It matches the Rfam family "Bacterial small subunit ribosomal RNA", at positions 69 to 827 of the family's 1533-position model. The record is from RNAcentral.